AGUGAACGCUGGCGGUAGGCCUAACACAUGCAAGUCGAACGGCAGCACAGUAAGAGCUUGCUCUUACGGGUGGCGAGUGGCGGACGGGUGAGGAAUACAUCGGAAUCUACUUUUUCGUGGGGGAUAACGUAGGGAAACUUACGCUAAUACCGCAUACGACCUACGGGUGAAAGCAGGGGAUCUUCGGACCUUGCGCGAUUGAAUGAGUCGAUGUCGGAUUAGCUAGUUGGCGGGGUAAAGGCCCACCAAGGCGACGAUCCGUAGCUGGUCUGAGAGGAUGAUCGGCCACACUGGAACUUAGACACGGUCCAGACUCCUACGGGAGGCAGCAGUGGGGAAUAUUGGACAAUGGGCGCAAGCCUGAUCCAGCCAUACCGCGUGGGUGAAGAAGGCCUUCGGGUUGUAAAGCCCUUUUGUUGGGAAAGAAAAUCAGCAGGUUAAUACCCCGCUGUUCUGACGGUACCCAAAGAAUAAGCACCGGCUAACUUCGUG
RNAcentral lists this ribosomal RNA (492 nucleotides) under uncultured bacterium. RNAcentral describes it as "partial 16S ribosomal RNA". It matches the Rfam family "Bacterial small subunit ribosomal RNA", at positions 29 to 507 of the family's 1533-position model. The record is from RNAcentral.